Trifolium pratense (red clover) is the source of this 1945-nucleotide long non-coding RNA. RefSeq lists it as uncharacterized. NCBI's taxonomy places the organism in Eukaryota, Viridiplantae, Streptophyta, Magnoliopsida, Fabales, Fabaceae. The transcript is spliced from 4 exons. The record is from RefSeq and is a predicted model, not a curated record.
ACUACUGGUAUGUGAAUACCAGUAGUGAAAUACAUUUGACCAAAGGAUUCCACUACUGAUACUUUAAUAUCGGUAGUGAAAAGUUCAGAGACAAGGGAUUUCACUACUGGCUUUCUUAAAUCCGUAGUGAAAAGUAGACACGGUGGCAAUGUUGUAAUUACAUUAAAAUUUGUUUUAAUUGUGUUUCACUACCGAUCUAGGAUUCACCCGUAGUGGAAUCCCUAUUAGUGUUAUUAAUUUUUUCAUAUUCUCAUUCAUUCCCAAUUAUCCCUAAUUUGUUCAUACGCGUUCCAAGUUCCUCAAACCUCCAAUCGUCCCACUGCAAACUCUAAACCUCCAAUCGUUCCUCAAAUCGUCCCAAUCGUUCCUCCCAUUCGCCAAAUCCCAAUCAUUCUCCAAUCUCUCCAUUCUCCAAUCUCCAAUUUCAUUCGGUUUCAUUCUCCAAACCCUAGACGGCCGACCCUGCAGAACGCUUGAAUCGCCUCCAAAUUUCUUCGUUUUCAUUCGGUAAAGGAACAUCUUUAGGAUUCUUUUCUAUAUUUGAAAAGCUGGUUCUAUUGGAAAUUUUGCAAAUAAAUUUAUAUACUGAAAGUACUUUAUGACAACGGAGCUUAAUACAAAGAAAAUGGGAAUGGAUUCUGCCCUUUCAGAUUGGCGAAGGUCAGAGAACGUCUCACAUUUUCUUUUUCUUUUUUCAGUUUCCUUUUGAUCACUGUCUUUGUUGAACCUUGGAUUUUUUCCCCUCUUGGUUCUGUUUUAAGUCAAAGAUAUAUCACUCUUCUAAAACAACUUGACGUUCUUUCCUAAUGAAGCAAAUAAAUUGUCCUUCAUGAUUUGAUCGUUUGAUGGUUUUUUCCCUUUUAAAUCAUUCAUACGGCUUGGUGUUUUCAUAUCAACUUGCUUAUUUGUUAUUUUAAUACAAUGUUAUAUUUUUGGGCUGAGACUGCUGAUUACAACUUAAAAUUCCAUAGUCAUGUCUCUUAAUACAAAUGUUACUAUAUAUAAUUAUGUCAUCCAUUUGUAGGGGAGGAAACAAUAUAAUACAAAUGACUGUGGAUACUAUGUAAUGAAAAAUAUGUUGGACAUUGUCACUGCUAAGAUAACUGAGUCUUGGAUGGAGGUAUUUAAUGACCCAAGUGAGUUAACAGCUGACGAGAUGUAUGAAUUGCGACUACGUUGGUCAACAUAUUUUUUGGAGUUAUUGGAGGGUUAAGAUUUAUCUGGUGAGUUAUAGAAUAGUUAAUUAUUUAAUUUUAAUGCAUCUGAUUUUUCGGAGAGGUUUUCGUCACAGCACGGACACACGGAUUAAUUUGAUUUAUAGUGUUUUUUCUAAAAUUAGAAUCCAAUAAAUCCAUUAUAUUUGAUUUGAUUAAGUUCGGUUGAUCAGUUCACGUGAAUAUGAGAUAUACUUAAAAUAUUCCUUACAUUAUUUGUUUGUGUUUUCUGCAAAUUUUAUAUGCAGUUUUCAAUGCUCAGUUGCAUAUAUAAUAUAAUUCCAUCACAUUCUUCAAAAUGAAGCUGUGUUACAUUUUCUGGUUACUGUGUUUGGCAUCACAUUCACACAGUCACACUUCAAAAUGAAGCUGUGUUGCAUUUUCUGGGCAUUGAAACAUGUUCAGUUUAAUUGAGCUGCUCAUAUACUAAAUUCAGUUACGAAUUUCAUUGGAAAGAGGAAUGCAGUCUGGAAAAUUGGGAAUAGGAUAUUCAAUGUAUUGUAGUAGGAAGGGAAUGGGGUGUGGCUUAUUUGGUGGCCAGCCUUAUGGCUGGUUCUUUACAAGGUUACAUUAGAGUUAUAAUGCCUAGUUUUACAACUAAGGUUAUAUGUUAUACGGAUAGUUUUUUCAACUGCGAUGAUUGAAAAAAUUGCUUAAAUUAUUCAAAAGUCAUGUAUCAUGGAUAUAUUACUUCUUUAAUUUGUUCUUUGUGUUUUUUGGAUUUACCCCUA